GGUUAAGCGACUAAGCGUACACGGUGGAUGCCCUGGCAGUCAGAGGCGAUGAAGGACGUGCUAAUCUGCGAAAAGCGCCGGCGAGGUGAUAUGAACCUUUGACCCGGCGAUGUCCGAAUGGGGAAACCCAGUGCAAUCCGUUGCACUAUCGUUAACUGAAUACAUAGGUUAACGAGGCGAACCGGGGGAACUGAAACAUCUAAGUACCCCGAGGAAAAGAAAUCAACCGAGAUUCCCCCAGUAGCGGCGAGCGAACGGGGAGCAGCCCGGAGUCUGAAUCAGCUUGUGUGUUAGUGGAACGGUCUGGAAAGUCCGACGGUACAGGGUGAUAGUCCCGUACACGAAAGCACACAUGCUGUGAACUCGAAGAGUAGGGCGGGACACGUGGUAUCCUGUCUGAAUAUGGGGGGACCAUCCUCCAAGGCUAAAUACUCCUGACUGACCGAUAGUGAACCAGUACCGUGAGGGAAAGGCGAAAAGAACCCCGGCGAGGGGAGUGAAAAAGAACCUGAAACCGUGUACGUACAAGCAGUGGGAGCCUCUUUAUGGGGUGACUGCGUACCUUUUGUAUAAUGGGUCAGCGACUUAUAUUCUGUAGCAAGGUUAACCGUAUAGGGGAGCCGAAGGGAAACCGAGUCUUAACUGGGCGUUAAGUUGCAGGGUAUAGACCCGAAACCCGGUGAUCUAGCCAUGGGCAGGUUGAAGGUUGGGUAACACUAACUGGAGGACCGAACCGACUAAUGUUGAAAAAUUAGCGGAUGACCUGUGGCUGGGGGUGAAAGGCCAAUCAAACCGGGAGAUAGCUGGUUCUCCCCGAAAGCUAUUUAGGUAGCGCCUCGUGAACUCAUCUUCGGGGGUAGAGCACUGUUUCGGCUAGGGGGCCAUCCCGGCUUACCAACCCGAUGCAAACUACGAAUACCGAAGAAUGUUAUCACGGGAGACACACGGCGGGUGCUAACGUCCGUCGUGAAGAGGGAAACAACCCAGACCGCCAGCUAAGGUCCCAAAGUCAUGGUUAAGUGGGAAACGAUGUGGGAAGGCACAGACAGCCAGGAUGUUGGCUUAGAAGCAGCCAUCAUUUAAAGAAAGCGUAAUAGCUCACUGGUCGAGUCGGCCUGCGCGGAAGAUGUAACGGGGCUAAACCAUGCACCGAAGCUGCGGCAGCGACACUAUGUGUUGUUGGGUAGGGGAGCGUUCUGUAAGCCGUUGAAGGUGUGCUGUGAGGCAUGCUGGAGGUAUCAGAAGUGCGAAUGCUGACAUAAGUAACGAUAAAGCGGGUGAAAAGCCCGCUCGCCGGAAGACCAAGGGUUCCUGUCCAACGUUAAUCGGGGCAGGGUGAGUCGACCCCUAAGGCGAGGCCGAAAGGCGUAGUCGAUGGGAAACAGGUUAAUAUUCCUGUACUUGGUGUUACUGCGAAGGGGGGACGGAGAAGGCUAUGUCAGCCGGGCGACGGUUGUCCCGGUUUAAGCAUGUAGGCGGAGGUUCCAGGUAAAUCCGGUACCUUUUAACGCUGAGGUGUGAUGACGAGGCACUACGGUGCUGAAGUGAUAAAUGCCCUGCUUCCAGGAAAAGCCUCUAAGCAUCAGGUAACACGAAAUCGUACCCCAAACCGACACAGGUGGUCAGGUAGAGAAUACCAAGGCGCUUGAGAGAACUCGGGUGAAGGAACUAGGCAAAAUGGUGCCGUAACUUCGGGAGAAGGCACGCUGAUGUGUAGGUGAAGCCCCUGCGGGCGGAGCUGAAAUCAGUCGAAGAUACCAGCUGGCUGCAACUGUUUAUUAAAAACACAGCACUGUGCAAACACGAAAGUGGACGUAUACGGUGUGACGCCUGCCCGGUGCCGGAAGGUUAAUUGAUGGGGUUAGCGGCAACGCGAAGCUCUUGAUCGAAGCCCCGGUAAACGGCGGCCGUAACUAUAACGGUCCUAAGGUAGCGAAAUUCCUUGUCGGGUAAGUUCCGACCUGCACGAAUGGCGUAAUGAUGGCCAGGCUGUCUCCACCCGAGACUCAGUGAAAUUGAACUCGCUGUGAAGAUGCAGUGUACCCGCGGCAAGACGGAAAGACCCCGUGAACCUUUACUAUAGCUUGACACUGAACACUGGUCCUUGAUGUGUAGGAUAGGUGGGAGGCUUUGAAGCGUGGACGCCAGUCUGCGUGGAGCCAACCUUGAAAUACCACCCUUUAAUGGCUGGUGUUCUAACGUAGACCCGUAAUCCGGGUUGCGGACAGUGUCUGGUGGGUAGUUUGACUGGGGCGGUCUCCUCCCAAAGAGUAACGGAGGAGCACGAAGGUUGGCUAAUCCUGGUCGGACAUCAGGAGGUUAGUGCAAUGGCAUAAGCCAGCUUGACUGCGAGCGUGACGGCGCGAGCAGGUGCGAAAGCAGGUCAUAGUGAUCCGGUGGUUCUGAAUGGAAGGGCCAUCGCUCAACGGAUAAAAGGUACUCCGGGGAUAACAGGCUGAUACCGCCCAAGAGUUCAUAUCGACGGCGGUGUUUGGCACCUCGAUGUCGGCUCAUCACAUCCUGGGGCUGAAGUAGGUCCCAAGGGUAUGGCUGUUCGCCAUUUAAAGUGGUACGCGAGCUGGGUUUAGAACGUCGUGAGACAGUUCGGUCCCUAUCUGCCGUGGGCGCUGGAGAAUUGAGGGGGGCUGCUCCUAGUACGAGAGGACCGGAGUGGACGCAUCACUGGUGUUCGGGUUGUCAUGCCAAUGGCACUGCCCGGUAGCUAAAUGCGGAAGAGAUAAGUGCUGAAAGCAUCUAAGCACGAAACUUGCCCCGAGAUGAGUUCUCCCUGAGACUUUAAGUCUCCUGAAGGAACGUUGAAGACGACGACGUUGAUAGGUCGGGUGUGUAAGCGCAGCGAUGCGUUGAGCUAACCGAUACUAAUGAACCGUGAGGCUUAACCUU
RNAcentral lists this ribosomal RNA (2904 nucleotides) under Enterobacter hormaechei. RNAcentral describes it as "23S ribosomal RNA". It matches the Rfam family "Bacterial large subunit ribosomal RNA". The record is from RNAcentral. RNAcentral also lists the same sequence under 1 other name. Lineage: Bacteria; Pseudomonadati; Pseudomonadota; Gammaproteobacteria; Enterobacterales; Enterobacteriaceae.